GAUCAUGGCUCAGAACGAACGCUGGCGGCAGGCUUAACACAUGCAAGUUGAACGGGAACAUACGAUAGCUUGCUAUAGUAUGUGAGAGUGGCGCACGGGUGAGUAAUACAUGGGAACAUACCUUAAAGUGGGGGAUAACUUCUGGAAACGGAUGCUAAUACCGCAUAUACCCUGAGGGGGAAAGAUUUAUCGCUUUAAGAUUGGCCCAUGGCAGAUUAGGUAGUUGGUGGACGGUAACGCCACACG
This 246-nucleotide ribosomal RNA is filed under the name uncultured bacterium. Its description in RNAcentral is "partial 16S ribosomal RNA". It matches the Rfam family "Bacterial small subunit ribosomal RNA", at positions 15 to 269 of the family's 1533-position model. The record is from RNAcentral.